CCUACGGGUGGCAGCAGUCGAGAAUCAUUCACAAUGGGGGAAACCCUGAUGGUGCGACGCCGCGUGGGGGAAUGAAGGUCUUCGGAUUGUAAACCCCUGUCAUGUGGGAGCAAAUUAAAAAGAUAGUACCACAAGAGGAAGAGACGGCUAACUCUGUGCCAGCAGCCGCGGUAAUACAGAGGUCUCAAGCGUUGUUCGGAAUCACUGGGCGUAAAGCGUGCGUAGGCUGUUUCGUAAGUCGUGUGUGAAAGGCGCGGGCUCAACCCGCGGACGGCACAUGAUACUGCGAGACUAGAGUAAGGGAGGGGGAACCGGAAUUCUCGGUGUAGCAGUGAAAUGCGUAGAUAUCGAGAGGAACACUGGUGGCGAAGGCGGGUUCCUGGACAUUAACUGACGCUGAGGCACGAAGGCCAGGGGAGCGAAAGGGAUUAGAUACCCGGGUAGUC
This 446-nucleotide ribosomal RNA is filed under the name uncultured bacterium. RNAcentral's name for it is "partial 16S ribosomal RNA". It matches the Rfam family "Bacterial small subunit ribosomal RNA", at positions 338 to 795 of the family's 1533-position model. The record is from RNAcentral.